This 300-nucleotide ribosomal RNA is filed under the name uncultured Oceanospirillaceae bacterium. Its description in RNAcentral is "bacterial SSU rRNA". It matches the Rfam family "Bacterial small subunit ribosomal RNA", at positions 114 to 422 of the family's 1533-position model. The record is from RNAcentral. Lineage: Bacteria; Pseudomonadati; Pseudomonadota; Gammaproteobacteria; Oceanospirillales; Oceanospirillaceae.
CGCGUAGGAAACUGCCUAGUAGUGGGGGAUAGCCCAGAGAAAUUUGGAUUAAUACCGCAUACGCCCUACGGGGAAAGGGGGCGUUCGGCUCUCGCUAUUAGAUGUGCCUGCGUAAGAUUAGCUUGUUGGUGAGGUAAUGGCUCACCAAGGCGACGAUCUUUAGCUGGUCUGAGAGGAUGAUCGGCCACACUGGAACUGAGACACGGCCCGGACUCCUACGGGAGGCAGCAGUGGGGAAUAUUGGACAAUGGGGGAAACCCGUGAUCCAGCCAUGCCGCGUGUGUGAAGAAGGCCUUUUGG